This 279-nucleotide ribosomal RNA is filed under the name uncultured bacterium. Its description in RNAcentral is "partial 16S ribosomal RNA". It matches the Rfam family "Bacterial small subunit ribosomal RNA", at positions 506 to 784 of the family's 1533-position model. The record is from RNAcentral.
UGCCAGCAGCCGCGGUAACACGGGGGGCGCAAGCGUUAUUCGGAAUUAUUGGGCGUAAAGCGGGUGUAGGUGGCUUGGAAAGUCGGAUGUGAAAUCCCAGGGCUCAACCCUGGAACUGCAUUCGAAACUUCCUAGCUAGAGUCCUGGAGAGGAAGGCAGAAUUCCCGGUGUAGAGGUGAAAUUCGUAGAUAUCGGGAGGAAUACCAGUGGCGAAGGCGGCCUUCUGGACGGUGACUGACACUCAGACCCGAAAGCGUGGGUAGCGAACAGGAUUAGAUA